GUAAAAGGAAUGGAAAUAAGAAGCUAUCCGAAUGAGCAAGUAAAGGUAGACAUACGUAAAAAGAAUGGAAAUAAGAAGCUAUCCGAAUGAACAAGUAAAGGUAGACAUACGUAAAAAGAAUGGAAAUAAGAAGCUAUCCGAAUGAGCAAGUAAAGGUAGACAUACGUAAAAAGAAUGGAAAUAAGAAGCUAUCCGAAUGAGCAAGUAAAGGUAGACAUACGUAAAAAGAAUGGAAAUAAGAAGCUAUCCGAAUGAACAAGUAAAGGUAGACAUACGUAAAAGAAUGGAAAUAAGAAGCUAUCCGAAUGAGCAAGUAAAGGUAGACAUACGUAAAAAGAAUGGAAAUAAGAAGCUAUCCGAAUGAGCAAGUAAAGGUAGACAUACGUAAAAAGAAUGGAAAUAAGAAGCUAUCCGAAUGAGCAAGUAAAGGUAGACAUACGUAAAAAGAAUGGAAAUAAGAAGCUAUCCGAAUGAGCAAGUAAAGGUAGACAUACGU
Molecule: long non-coding RNA, 496 nt
Organism: Protopterus annectens (West African lungfish)
Lineage: Eukaryota; Metazoa; Chordata; Ceratodontiformes; Protopteridae
Exons: 2
Source: RefSeq, a predicted model, not a curated record